GGGGGCUAUACAUGCAAGUCGAGCGAACAGACGAGGAGCUUGCUCCUCUGACGUUAGCGGCGGACGGGUGAGUAACACGUGGAUAACCUACCUAUAAGACUGGGAUAACUUCGGGAAACCGGAGCUAAUACCGGAUAAUAUAUUGAACCGCAUGGUUCAAUAGUGAAAGACGGUUUUGCUGUCACUUAUAGAUGGAUCCGCGCCGCAUUAGCUAGUUGGUAAGGUAACGGCUUACCAAGGCAACGAUGCGUAGCCGACCUGAGAGGGUGAUCGGCCACCACUGGAACUGAGACACGGUCCAGACUCCUACGGGAGGCAGCAGUAGGGAAUCUUCCGCAAUGGGCGAAAGCCUGACGGAGCAACGCCGCGUGAGUGAUGAAGGUCUUCGGAUCGUAAAACUCUGUUAUUAGGGAAGAACAAAUGUGUAAGUAACUAUGCACGUCUUGACGGUACCUAAUCAGAAAGCCACGGCUAACUACGUGCCAGCAGCCGCGGUAAUACGUAGGUGGCAAGCGUUAUCCGGAAUUAUUGGGCGUAAAGCGCGCGUAGGCGGUUUUUUAAGUCUGAUGUGAAAGCCCACGGCUCAACCGUGGAGGGUCAUUGGAAACUGGAAAACUUGAGUGCAGAAGAGGAAAGUGGAAUUCCAUGUGUAGCGGUGAAAUGCGCAGAGAUMUGGAGGAACACCAGUGGCGAAGGCGACUUUCUGGUCUGUAACUGACGCUGAUGUGCGAAAGCGUGGGGAUCAAACAGGAUUAGAUACCCUGGUAGUCCACGCCGUAAACGAUGAGUGCUAAGUGUUAGGGGGUUUCCGCCCCUUAGUGCUGCAGCUAACGCAUUAAGCACUCCGCCUGGGGAGUACGACCGCAAGGUUGAAACUCAAAGGAAUUGACGGGGACCCGCACAAGCGGUGGAGCAUGUGGUUUAAUUCGAAGCAACGCGAAGAACCUUACCAAAUCUUGACAUCCUCUGACCCCUCUAGAGAUAGAGUUUUCCCCUUCGGGGGACAGAGUGACAGGUGGUGCAUGGUUGUCGUCAGCUCGUGUCGUGAGAUGUUGGGUUAAGUCCCGCAACGAGCGCAACCCUUAAGCUUAGUUGCCAUCAUUAAGUUGGGCACUCUAAGUUGACUGCCGGUGACAAACCGGAGGAAGGUGGGGAUGACGUCAAAUCAUCAUGCCCCUUAUGAUUUGGGCUACACACGUGCUACAAUGGACAAUACAAAGGGUAGCGAAACCGCGAGGUCAAGCAAAUCCCAUAAAGUUGUUCUCAGUUCGGAUUGUAGUCUGCAACUCGACUAUAUGAAGCUGGAAUCGCCUAGUAAUCCGUAGAUCAGCAUGUUAG
Molecule: ribosomal RNA, 1338 nt
Filed under: Staphylococcus epidermidis
Lineage: Bacteria; Bacillati; Bacillota; Bacilli; Caryophanales; Staphylococcaceae
Description: bacterial SSU rRNA
Rfam family: Bacterial small subunit ribosomal RNA
Source: RNAcentral